GCCGCCGCCAGUACGGUAAUCGGAGUCAUUCUAUAAGCAUGUCCUACUCGUCAUAGUUUUUACGGUUUUCGCGGCUAUAAGUGAAACUCCUGCCCUGGGAUUCAUCAGAAUUCUAUCCCUAGAGCUAACAGACGUUAAACCGCGAUGUUAACAUGACCUGGAUCCUGUCCCUGCUCUGUGUGCGUGUAUGUGUGUGUGUGGAGGCUCACUUUGAGGGAAGGAAGCUGACCCCCAGAGAGACGCCAAGUAUAUACCAAUAUUCGUCACUGCCUCAAGUCCUGCUCGUAUGCAUCGCAUGACAGGCAGCUUGUACCGUAGAAGCUGCAUCGGGCAUCACUUGACGACUGUCUCGACUAAUGCUGUUACGCCGAAACACGAUGAGAUAAAGCCCCCAACGAGCUCCUAAUUCGGUCCUCCUUACAGAGCCUUCUUGAUCACCAAACCGCCGCCUACGCCAUUACCAGUGCAAGGACACUUCGGGUCACUCCAUCAACCACCACCAUAAUUGCCUCCACGACCGUUUGUCCUCGCUACGAAAAGAAAGAGGACCCCGGAUAUCGUUAACACUGGAGAAGACUAAAGGACGAGAGGGGACGGCAGUGAGUGGCGCGGGGAAGAAGAGUUAAGGAGAGCAGAGAGGAGAGAUGUCAGCAAGAUUGUCAGGAAAUUUUCAAAAUACUUUGACGAAUGGAAGGGAAAACAAAUCACAACGGAAGAGUCUUUAAGGGAAAGUCUCCUACACGCUGCUGGAAAGAAGAUACUGAUAAUUUGUGGAACAUAUCGAAAUGUUACAAGAUACCAGAACUUGUGCAAGGAGAGCUUCGAAGUCUUGGAAUAAUGAAAGAGAAACCAAAAUUCAUUGUCUCAGGUCAUCAUGAAGAAAGGACUCCUAUACGCAUUCGGAAAAAAAAGAAAUUGUGGAUCAUACCGGCGUGUUACAAGAGAGCCACGGUUAUUGUUGUCACAGGAGGAGAGGAGAGGACGAGAGGGGAGGGAGGAGGAUACACUGAGGGCUCGUGGAAGAAGAGAACAAGAAAGAGAGCCGUCAAGGAGAGAAGAAAGAGUGCUAUGACUUUUACUGACUGAAAAAAAGUGAAAAAAAAUAAGAAAGGAAGAACAAAAAAAGAGUCAAGGAGAGAAGAGAGAUGAGAGCCUCUGCGUUUGAUUGCCCUUUUCUACGCCACAACGCUGCCGUGGACGACGCAACCCAGCAAUCAUUGGACUGAGUAAUGGCAGCCGACUGGAUGACGUAAAUAUAUUCUGCGGCAAGAGUUACUGGGCAGGCAAGUAAUUUAUUGUCUCACACGAUGACCUCCACUUCGUCUUCAGAGUGUAACCUCAGAGACAUUGUUCAAGGACUCCUGGAUUAUGAAGAAGGGGUGUUGGUGUUUUAUUCUCUCACGCAAGAUAUCCUUCAACUGUUAUUAUUCCACCGGCCUCAUUAUCAGUAAAAGGCCUCGAGAGUUGCUCCCCUUUAUCCUUGUCCUCCCGAGGCGACGAGGCUUCCUGUUCGAGAUUUGAAAUUCGAAGAAGAUUCAUGAGUGGCCUCUGUUCCGAGUCCUGGGAGCCGCGCCGUCGCCUCCUGCCUCUGCUGUUGCUGUUGCCUCGGCGGGAUUGGCUGUUUAUAUCUCUCUCACUCCCUCCCGUGCCUGCGGUUAUCUUGUGUGAGCCCUUGUGCGUUCUGUGGCCUUAUGUGCACUGGGAAAAAAGAUAAAGGGAAGAGUAAGGAACUUCCCCAAGACAAGACCAACAAAGAGAAGGAGCGUGGUGAUGAAUUAUUUUGACACACAUAGAGUUGGUCGAUGUUUAUAUAAAAUGACUUCGAAAAUGUAAACAAGCAUGAACGCAAAUCAGGAAAUAACUGAAGAAAAUUAAUCAGUGACACAAUUGACAUUCUACUCUACUCAGUGGCUGUGAAGUUAAGUUGAACAAAAUCAUACAUUUGCAACCAUAUAUUAUAAUGAUACAUAGGUGUGCAGUCAUCAAGCUUGCAACAUGACACCAAACAGAGAUAAUAAAGAGAAAAACAAGAAGCAAUAACGACAACAUUCUUGUCCACCACCACCACCACCACCACCGUCACAACCGCCACCACCGUCACCACUGCCACUAUGACAACCACCGCCACCACAACCACCACCACCACAAGAAAAGUGAUGGACUAUAAAUGAAAUGGAACGGAACUGCGUGGAAAGUAAGAAAACGAUAACACGGGCACACAACAAGCUGGUGCGGGGGAAGCCUGAAUGUGUGAUCAGGAGAAGACCCUUUGAUAGAUUAUUGAAACAAAGGACAAGAAAGGGGGUUAACGAGAGUGGACUGAAGGAGGACGACUAGGGAAGAGAGAAAAAGGGAAGGAGGAAGAGGAGAAGGAAGACAAGGAGCUGGAGGAAGAAGAGGAGGAGGAGGAGGAGGAGAUGGAACUAUGUCAACAGAG
Long non-coding RNA from Eriocheir sinensis (Chinese mitten crab), 2437 nucleotides. RefSeq lists it as uncharacterized. NCBI's taxonomy places the organism in Eukaryota, Metazoa, Arthropoda, Malacostraca, Decapoda, Varunidae. The record is from RefSeq and is a predicted model, not a curated record. The transcript has 13 exons.